RNAcentral lists this ribosomal RNA (402 nucleotides) under Verrucomicrobiota bacterium. RNAcentral's name for it is "Verrucomicrobia bacterium partial 16S ribosomal RNA". It matches the Rfam family "Bacterial small subunit ribosomal RNA", at positions 355 to 776 of the family's 1533-position model. The record is from RNAcentral. Lineage: Bacteria; Pseudomonadati; Verrucomicrobiota.
UGGGGAAUAUUGCACAAUGGGGGAAACCCUGAUGCAGCGACGCCGCGUGAGCGAUGAAGGCUUUCGAGUCGUAAAGCUCUGUCCUAUGGGAAGAUAAUGACGGUACCAUAGAAGAAAGCCCCGGCUAAUUACGUGCCAGCAGCCGCGGUAAUACGUAAGGGGCGAGCGUUGUCCGGAAUUAUUGGGCGUAAAGUUCGUAGGCGGCAAAUUAAGUCAGAUGUGAAAACUAAGGGCUCAACCCAUAGAUUGCAUCUGAAACUGAUAUGCUUGAGUCAAGGGGAGGGAAGUGGAAUUCCUAGUGUAGCGGUGGAAUGCGUAGAUAUUAGGAGGAAUACCGGUGGCGAAGGCGACUUUCUGGACUUGAACUGACGCUGAGGCACGAAAGCGUGGGGAGCAAACAGG